This is a non-coding RNA of Caenorhabditis elegans, 21 nucleotides long. The record is from Ensembl. Lineage: Eukaryota; Metazoa; Nematoda; Chromadorea; Rhabditida; Rhabditidae.
AUCUCGCUUUGACUUCAAUUG